This 243-nucleotide long non-coding RNA is filed under the name Lathyrus oleraceus (garden pea). RNAcentral's name for it is "Pisum sativum (pea) long non-coding RNA (PSAT_LNC018162)". Lineage: Eukaryota; Viridiplantae; Streptophyta; Magnoliopsida; Fabales; Fabaceae. The record is from RNAcentral.
UUAUAAGAUGGUUUAACUUCAGGAUCAAAAGUAUAUACAUCGAGGUCUUCACUUUUCUUGUGUGCCAUCAAGCAUAGGUUGGCACAUUAAUCAUCAGAACUUGAGCUAAAAGAUGGAGAAGAGCUUUCAUCUUCUUUUUCCCAAGCAAUAUAGGCUCUACGACCUUAAGCAUGUUUGUCAUUCGUCUUGUAGAAUUCUUUGUCCUUUUUUUAUGAUGUUUGUUGAGACCCAGACAUGUGGUUC